ACAAAAAGUACUAUCAAAUUAAAUAAAAUGGUAGAAAACAAAAGAAUAGCGAAGAAGAAGCAAAUGCGCUUCACGCUAAUUCCAAGUACCAACACAAAACAAUUCAAUGUUUGGUGAAGCAACUUGCUUAGUGGCGGACGGGUGAGUAACGCGUGAACAAUCUGCCCCGUACAAAGGGAUAGCCUCGGGAAACCGGGAUUAAAACCAUAUAACACUUAACUGCCGCAUGGUAGUGAAGUCAAAUCGAUUAAGAGGUAUGGGAUGAGUUCGCGUCUGAUUAGCUAGUUGGUGAGGUAAGGGCUCACCAAGGCGACGAUCAGUAGCCGGCCUGAGAGGGUGAACGGCCACACUGGAACUGAGACACGGUCCAGACUCCUACGGGAGGCAGCAGUGGGGAAUAUUGCACAAUGGAGGGAACUCUGAUGCAGCGACGCCGCGUGAGUGAAGAAGGUCUUCGGAUCGUAAAACUCUGUCCUUGGUGAAGAAAAGGACGGUAGCCAAGGAGGAAGCCCCGGCUAACUACGUG
RNAcentral lists this ribosomal RNA (526 nucleotides) under uncultured bacterium. RNAcentral's name for it is "bacterial SSU rRNA". It matches the Rfam family "Bacterial small subunit ribosomal RNA", at positions 1 to 507 of the family's 1533-position model. The record is from RNAcentral.